GGACUACUCGGGUUUCUAAUCCCGUUUGCUCCCCACGCUUUCGCGCCUCAGCGUCAGGAAAUGCCCAGAGACCCGCCUUCGCCACCGGUGUUCCUCCCGAUCUCUACACAUUUCACCGCUACACCGGGAAUUCCAGUCUCCUCUGCAUCCCUCAAGAACGGCAGUAUCAGCCGACGUGCUUCGGUUGAGCCGAAGUAUUUCACGACUGACUUGCCAUCCCGCCUACGCGCCCUUUACGCCCAGUGAUUCCGAGCAACGCUUGCCCCCUCUGUCUUACCGCGGCGGCUGGCAC
RNAcentral lists this ribosomal RNA (292 nucleotides) under uncultured bacterium. RNAcentral describes it as "partial 16S ribosomal RNA". The record is from RNAcentral.